UGAAGGUGACAGUUGUCCUCACAGUUCUGGCGCUCACCUGUCUGGUCGGCUCUGUGACGUCACAAUACUACAGCAACAACAACGGCAGGAGCCGCUUUCCCAGCUACAACCGCAACAACAACAGAGGCUACAACUACGGCGGCUACCGACAACAGUAUCCCAGAUACAACAGGUACAACAGAUAUAACAGCUACGACAGUGACAGCAGUGAGAGUCGCGACAGUGACGACAGCAGCGAAGAGAGGGGUCGCUACAAUUACUACAGAAGAUACUAAUGUUCGUGGACUGCGGAGACUGGUGUUUAUUCAUCACAAUGCGUCUGUUACUUUCUAUACUUCUAUACUGUCUUACUGAAGUGAAUGAAAACUGUCACUGUUAGUACGUGACGGCCAGUUUCGUACACGUUUUUUCUUGACAAGCUUUUUUUACUUGAAAUUUAUUUUAUUUUUUAAAUAUUUUUUUUUGGUUCUUUUGACUCUAAAAUAAAUAUUGUGGUUCUGUCUGUAGGUUUCAUACUUUGAAAACCUUCAAAAUAAAGUCAAAGGAAAAGGGAAA
Long non-coding RNA from Aplysia californica (California sea hare), 555 nucleotides. RefSeq lists it as uncharacterized. The transcript has 3 exons. The record is from RefSeq and is a predicted model, not a curated record. Lineage: Eukaryota; Metazoa; Mollusca; Gastropoda; Aplysiida; Aplysiidae.